GCGCCAGACUCCUACGGGAGGCAGCAGUGGGGAAUAUUGCGCAAUGGGCGAAACCCUGAUGCAGCGACGCCGCGUGUGGGAAGACGGUCCUCUGGAUUGUAAACCACUGUCCCCAGGGACGAAGAUGACGGUACCUGGGGAGGAAGCUCCGGCUAACUACGUGCCAGCAGCCGCGGUAAUACGUAGGGAGCGAGCGUUGUCCGGAAUUACUGGGUGUAAAGGGAGCGUAGGCGGGACUGCAAGUUGGGUGUCAAAUCUGCCGGCUCAACCGGUAGCCGCACUCAAAACUGCAGUUCUUGAGUGAAGUAGAGGCAGGCGGAAUUCCUAGUGUAGCGGUGAAAUGCGUAGAUAUUAGGAGGAACACCAGUGGCGAAGGCGGCCUGCUGGGCUUUUACUGACGCUGAGGCUCGAAGGUGUGGGGAGCAAACAGGAUUAGAUACCCGCGUAUG
Molecule: ribosomal RNA, 449 nt
Filed under: uncultured bacterium
Lineage: Bacteria
Description: bacterial SSU rRNA
Rfam family: Bacterial small subunit ribosomal RNA
Source: RNAcentral